Molecule: small RNA, 101 nt
Filed under: bovine gut metagenome
Description: RT-5 RNA
Rfam family: RT-5 RNA
About the family: Clostridium (Firmicutes). Environment (Cow rumen (57))
Source: RNAcentral
UGCGCCUGCAUUGGAUGCAGCCCUGCCCAAAUUGUGCCUUGCAGGCGGCCGGACAGGGUACACAUCCCGUGAUCGGCAAUUUUGCCGAUUCAAAUCCUUUC